CGCACGGGUGAGUAACACGCAUCCAACCUGCCGUCUACUCUUGGACAGCCUUCUGAAAGGAAGAUUAAUACAAGAUGGCAUCAUGAGUUCACAUGUUCACAUGAUUAAAGGUAUUCCGGUAGACGAUGGGGAUGCGUUCCAUUAGAUAGUAGGCGGGGUAACGGCCCACCUAGUCUUCGAUGGAUAGGGGUUCUGAGAGGAAGGUCCCCCACAUUGGAACUGAGACACGGUCCAAACUCCUACGGAAGGCAGCAG
This 255-nucleotide ribosomal RNA is filed under the name uncultured bacterium. RNAcentral describes it as "partial 16S ribosomal RNA". It matches the Rfam family "Bacterial small subunit ribosomal RNA", at positions 99 to 354 of the family's 1533-position model. The record is from RNAcentral.